This 4826-nucleotide long non-coding RNA is filed under the name Sus scrofa (pig). Its description in RNAcentral is "lncRNA (ENSSSCG00000059562.1)". The record is from RNAcentral. Lineage: Eukaryota; Metazoa; Chordata; Mammalia; Artiodactyla; Suidae.
UGAGAGCAAGAACAGGUAAUGUCAAUUGCAGUGCCCUCCUUUGAGGUGAUUGGGGUCAUAAGUGGUGCUUGUUCUGGGACCCCUAGUAGUGGUGGCCCACCUCUGGAAUCAGUAAUAACUGCAGUGUUCUGCCCCUGCCACCUGCAAACCAUGCAAGAAGCACCCCGUCCCACUUAGCACACAAGGGAAGUGCUGCAUAGGCUGCUCCUAAUUGCAGGGUCCUAGGAAGUGACAGUGAUCAAGCAUCUGGGUGCUGCUCAGAGCUGGUAUGCUCCCAGAGAUGCAAAAGCAACAACAGGUAGUGUUUGGUUGCAGUGUCCUCCUUUGUCAUGCUCUUGAGGUGUUUAGGGCCGCAAGUGCUGCUUGUUCACGGACCCCUACUGGUGGUGGACCACGCCCACCUCUGGAGUCAGAGAUAACUGCAGUGGUUUGCUCCCAUCACCUGCAGACCAUGCAAGAAGCAUCCUGUCCUGCUUAGUCCGUGCAGCAAGUGCUGAACCAGCUGCUCCUAGUAGCAGGAUCUUGAAAAGUGACAGUGAUCAAGCAUGUGGGCACCGUCUGGGGUGUUUGGCAGUGGUAGCAGCAGGGUGGGUGAGUUCCCAGUGGUUUGAGAGCAUCAACAGGUAGUGUUCGGUCACAAUGCCCUCCUCUGAGGUGCCCUCUGAGGUGAUUGGUAUUGCAAGUGGUACCUGAUCAUGGACCCCUAGUGAUGACGUGCCACGCCAACCUCUGGAGUCAGAGAUUACCAUGGUGCUUUGCCCCUGCCAACUGUAGACUAUGCAAGAAGCACCCUGUCCCACUUAGCCCACAUAGAAGGUGCUGCACCAGCUGCUCCUAAUUGCAGAGUCUUGGGAAGGGACAGUGAUGAAGCAUCUGAGCACUGCCUAGAGCAUUUGCCAGUGGCAGCAGCAGGGCAGGUAUGUUCCUAGGGGAGUGAGAGCAACAAUGGGUGGUAUUCUGUUGCAGUGCACUCUUUUUUUUGGCCACCCCCUGAUGUGACUGGGGCCACAGGUGGAGGCCACUCACAGGCCCCUGGUGGUGGUAGGCCACACCUCCCUCCACUAUCUGUCCCUGCUGCCUAUAAAUCAUGCAAGAAGCACCACAUCAUACUUAGCCCUUCCACUUCCCUUAGCCCUCACAAGAGGUGCCUGGUCACCCAGAGCUGGCACAAGAAGUGCCUGGCCUCCCAUAGACCGAGCAAGUGGCUUCUCGCCACUAGUAACCUGCAGCAGAGUCACCCCACCCUCUGAGAGCCCUUCUGCGUGUGUACAAGGAGAUUCCUAUGGCAGUCGACCCCUCCUCCUCUUGCCCUUCCCAACAAUGGUGCCUUGUUUCUCCUGUGGGCCCAGAUCUCCUCCCUGGUUCCCUAUUCCUUGGUGUUCUACUCCCCAGCCUGUAACACACUGCUCCCCCCUCCAUGGCACAUUGCUCCUUACCCUUUCAGGCUGUCCCCACGCUGCCAACCCUAGUCCUCUCCCCGGAACUGACCUCUGGAGCCUAAGUUUUAGUGCCCAGCCCCUGCCCAAUCAUCUCAAGCUGUGGUAUCUGGGCCAGUGGUACAGAUGAUCUGUGCUCACUCUACUUUGCCCUCCUCGGUCCAUCUGCUGAGCUUUUCUUGGUGACUUUGAGGUCCCUCCAUCUCAGCUGAUCUCCCUGUUGGUAAGGUGGCUUCCCAGGAUGUGGGUUCCUUUUCCCUUUCACAGCUCCCUCUCAGUAAUGCUACUCUCAUCCUGAUUCCUUUUCUCUCUCUCUCUCUUUUUUUCUUUUGUUCUACCCAGUUAUGUCAAGAGUUUCUUGCCCUUUUGGAGGUAUAAGUUCAUCUGCCAGUAUUCAGUAGAUGUUUUGUGUGAGUGGUUUUACAUGUUGAUGUGUUUUUUUGAUGUGUUUGUGGAAGAAGGUAAGCAUGCGACGUCUUCUCCUCCAUCUUGAUCCUUCCCCUCUAUUUUUUAGAAACUUCUUUUCUUUUCUUUUAUUUUUUUUGUCUUUUUGUCUUUUUUUUAGGGCCGCACUGCGGCAUAUGGAGGUUCCCAGGCUAGGGGUCGAAUCGGAGCUGCAGCCGCCGGCCUAUGCCACAGCCACAGCAAUGCCAGAUCCGAGCUGUGUCCACAACCCACAUCACAGCACAUGGUGACACCAGAUCCUCAUGAGCGAGGCCAGGGAUUGAACCUGCAACCUCAUGGUUCCUAGUCAUAUUUGUUUUCACUGCACCAUGAUGGGAAGUCCGAUUUUUUAGAAACUUUUAAAGGCUAUACUCACUUAAGAAUUUAAAAGGAUGAAAAUACCUCUGUAUGAGUUUGCAACUCUAAAUAUAACAAUAAUUUAGGAUGACAUCACUUUCACUUUUAAAUAGAUAAAUUAAGUGAUCUGGUGUAAAAAGCCAGUAAUGUAUUCAGUUACUCUUUGUUGUCAACAAAAAUAGGCUAAAAUUUAUCUGCUGAGAGUUACUUUGGGAGAUUUUAUAACUACUCCAACUAAAGGCAAUAAAGGUUGCCUACACCCAUAAUCAUUGCUAUCUGAAGCCUCUGAGAAUACUUGAGGUUUUUUAUGAGUAAAUAUCAGGAACAUAUUCUCUUGUUAUGACAUUUACUUCACAAGCUUGAAAUUCAAUCAUAAAUAGAUGUAGAUUACUUCAUGUUUGAAUUAAUAUUAUUUAGUCCACACAGGCUAUUAUUAAUUCAUCUAAAAUUUGAUAUCUCAAAAUUAGUACCUUUCAAACUUCUCAAUUACUCUUCUCCUCUUGGCUUGAUACAUGUUCUCAGUCACUAACUCAUGCUUUUUCAAAGUGCCAUUGCAAAAAGUCACUAUAUUUAUGGGAAAAAUCGUCCUAAUAAAAAUUAUUAGAACUUAGGAAUUGCUAUUGAUCUUCAAAGUAAUUUAUGGACAUCAAUUAUUCACUGUCCAAAAACAGGUAACUAAUCCAAUACAACAUUCACUUCCAAGAAUAAUAGGACAGACCUGCAAAGAUUUCAGCCUCGCAUACUUCCUAGUUUUUGAUGGGAAUGGAAAGAAAAACACUUUAUUGAAUCAGAAUUUCUUUCUCUGUCAUUGAGCUGCAACUUCCUACCUUUAUUUAAAGUCACUGUAUUUGUUUGCUUCUCUCCUAAGUUUAACCUGGACAAUAUAAAUAUCUUCUAAGAUAUGCCUUACCAAACUGUAAAGUAUAUGUUUUUGAAAAUAGGAAAAUAGAUUAUACAUUAGAAAUUAACUCAAUGUAGGAAGUUCCCGUCGUGGCGCAGUGGUUAACAAAUCCAACUAGGAACCAUGAGGUUGCGGGUUUGGUCCCUGGCCUCGCUCAGUGGGUUAAUGAUCCGGCGUUGCCAUGAGCUGUGGUGUAGGUUGCUGACGUGGCUCGGAUCCCGUGUUGCUGUGGCUCUGGCGUAGGCCAGAGACUACAGCUCUGAUUAGACCCCUAGCCUGGGAACUUCCAUAUGCCGUGGGAGUGGCCCAAGAAAUAGCAAAAAGACAAAAAAAAAAAAAAAAAAAAGAAAUUAACUCAAUGUAAAUCAAGUACACCUCAAUGAAAUAAAUUUUUAAAAAAGAAAAUAGGAAAAUAAUUCAGCAUUUUUUGAUAUGUCCUCAAAAACUGCUAUAUUCUAUGAAUUUUACUUUAUUUAAAUAAUAUAUUAUUUACCUGGCAAAAUAUGGAUUUAUUUUAGCUUAUUAUUUUAGACUGGUUUAUAAAAGAGAAAUACUUAUUUUUCUGAGGAAAUUAAAAAUUUGCCCCAACAGUUAGCUGUCAGUCAGUCCAAAAAGCAAAACGUGUGUUUUAAAUAUCAUUUUCUUUGCCCAGAACUGUACCAAGCACUAUGAGAAAUAGAAAUAUUAAAAAUAAUAAUAGAUACAAAUAUGGCUUUUUAUAGAAAUUACUAUGUCAAAACAUGAAAGAAAGCCUAAUAGCUACUAUUUAUAAUUUCAAAGAAAUGUUAAUGUUUAAAUGUAGAAAGCAAAUAAUCUACAAAUUUUAAGAUAAUAAAACAAUACAGGUUUUUUAAUAAUCAUUUUUGUUGUUAAUUUAAUUAUUUUAAUAGCUUGUUAUAAAAGUAGACUAGAUUUCCUAGAUCUGUAAUUGCAUUUAUGCACAUAAACAAUAAUCCAUGUAACUCAGAAUUUUGGUAUUCCAGGAAUACAAAUUAAGAUCUUGACAUACAGACUUUAGUCCAUAGACAAAAUCAAAUUUACUAAUUUGGUGAUAAUGAGAUAAAAGAAAUAAAAAUAUUAAAAAAGGUAAAAUGAACACCAGUGAUUUUAAGACUUUUUUGUAUUUAUCAGAAGAUGAAAGUCUUAACUAAUAAUAAAAACUUCAUUUCAUAAAAGAAUGAACAUUGCACCACAAAAAGCCAAAGAAAGAUUUAAUUUCCAAAUAUUUUGUAAAUUAUUUAUUUUAAAAUCUUAGGCUCUCUGAAUUUUUCUCAUUUUUCACUGAACAGUGAAAACAAACAUAGGCUUGCCCUUGGAAACCACUGAAAUACUCCAGCAAUUCUCAGUGGAAUAUGUAGAUGGACCCACUACUUCUAAGGGUUCUUUAUUGUUCAAAAAACAUAUUCUGUUUACCUAUUGUUUUAAUAAUGUACAACUCAAUUAAGAGGGCUCAAUACUAUUAUUUAGGGUCAUGAAAAUAGAGGAAAAAACAGAAAACCUCUGCAGAGUGUUGUGUGGGUUGUAAAAGGUUAUGAGAUCUGUUUUGUAAUAAAAUAGUGACACUGAGCAGCUUGGUGUAGAAUGAUAGGGUUUAAAGGAACUUGGAGGUCAUGUAAUCUCAAUAUCUCAUUUUACAAAUGAAUAAAUUGAUAAGUGUCUCCAUAACUGCAUUUCAAAAGUUUUCAUGG